Molecule: ribosomal RNA, 2924 nt
Filed under: Escherichia coli
Lineage: Bacteria; Pseudomonadati; Pseudomonadota; Gammaproteobacteria; Enterobacterales; Enterobacteriaceae
Description: partial 23S ribosomal RNA
Rfam family: Bacterial large subunit ribosomal RNA
Source: RNAcentral
GGGUUGUGAGGUUAAGCGACUAAGCGUACACGGUGGAUGCCCUGGCAGUCAGAGGCGAUGAAGGACGUGCUAAUCUGCGAUAAGCGUCGGUAAGGUGAUAUGAACCGUUAUAACCGGCGAUUUCCGAAUGGGGAAACCCAGUGUGUUUCGACACACUAUCAUUAACUGAAUCCAUAGGUUAAUGAGGCGAACCGGGGGAACUGAAACAUCUAAGUACCCCGAGGAAAAGAAAUCAACCGAGAUUCCCCCAGUAGCGGCGAGCGAACGGGGAGCAGCCCAGAGCCUGAAUCAGUGUGUGUGUUAGUGGAAGCGUCUGGAAAGGCGCGCGAUACAGGGUGACAGCCCCGUACACAAAAAUGCACAUGCUGUGAGCUCGAUGAGUAGGGCGGGACACGUGGUAUCCUGUCUGAAUAUGGGGGGACCAUCCUCCAAGGCUAAAUACUCCUGACUGACCGAUAGUGAACCAGUACCGUGAGGGAAAGGCGAAAAGAACCCCGGCGAGGGGAGUGAAAAAGAACCUGAAACCGUGUACGUACAAGCAGUGGGAGCACGCUUAGGCGUGUGACUGCGUACCUUUUGUAUAAUGGGUCAGCGACUUAUAUUCUGUAGCAAGGUUAACCGAAUAGGGGAGCCGAAGGGAAACCGAGUCUUAACUGGGCGUUAAGUUGCAGGGUAUAGACCCGAAACCCGGUGAUCUAGCCAUGGGCAGGUUGAAGGUUGGGUAACACUAACUGGAGGACCGAACCGACUAAUGUUGAAAAAUUAGCGGAUGACUUGUGGCUGGGGGUGAAAGGCCAAUCAAACCGGGAGAUAGCUGGUUCUCCCCGAAAGCUAUUUAGGUAGCGCCUCGUGAAUUCAUCUCCGGGGGUAGAGCACUGUUUCGGCAAGGGGGUCAUCCCGACUUACCAACCCGAUGCAAACUGCGAAUACCGGAGAAUGUUAUCACGGGAGACACACGGCGGGUGCUAACGUCCGUCGUGAAGAGGGAAACAACCCAGACCGCCAGCUAAGGUCCCAAAGUCAUGGUUAAGUGGGAAACGAUGUGGGAAGGCCCAGACAGCCAGGAUGUUGGCUUAGAAGCAGCCAUCAUUUAAAGAAAGCGUAAUAGCUCACUGGUCGAGUCGGCCUGCGCGGAAGAUGUAACGGGGCUAAACCAUGCACCGAAGCUGCGGCAGCGACACUAUGUGUUGUUGGGUAGGGGAGCGUUCUGUAAGCCUGUGAAGGUGUGCUGUGAGGCAUGCUGGAGGUAUCAGAAGUGCGAAUGCUGACAUAAGUAACGAUAAAGCGGGUGAAAAGCCCGCUCGCCGGAAGACCAAGGGUUCCUGUCCAACGUUAAUCGGGGCAGGGUGAGUCGACCCCUAAGGCGAGGCCGAAAGGCGUAGUCGAUGGGAAACAGGUUAAUAUUCCUGUACUUGGUGUUACUGCGAAGGGGGGACGGAGAAGGCUAUGUUGGCCGGGCGACGGUUGUCCCGGUUUAAGCGUGUAGGCUGGUUUUCCAGGCAAAUCCGGAAAAUCAAGGCUGAGGCGUGAUGACGAGGCACUACGGUGCUGAAGCAACAAAUGCCCUGCUUCCAGGAAAAGCCUCUAAGCAUCAGGUAACAUCAAAUCGUACCCCAAACCGACACAGGUGGUCAGGUAGAGAAUACCAAGGCGCUUGAGAGAACUCGGGUGAAGGAACUAGGCAAAAUGGUGCCGUAACUUCGGGAGAAGGCACGCUGAUAUGUAGGUGAGGUCCCUCGCGGAUGGAGCUGAAAUCAGUCGAAGAUACCAGCUGGCUGCAACUGUUUAUUAAAAACACAGCACUGUGCAAACACGAAAGUGGACGUAUACGGUGUGACGCCUGCCCGGUGCCGGAAGGUUAAUUGAUGGGGUUAGCGCAAGCGAAGCUCUUGAUCGAAGCCCCGGUAAACGGCGGCCGUAACUAUAACGGUCCUAAGGUAGCGAAAUUCCUUGUCGGGUAAGUUCCGACCUGCACGAAUGGCGUAAUGAUGGCCAGGCUGUCUCCACCCGAGACUCAGUGAAAUUGAACUCGCUGUGAAGAUGCAGUGUACCCGCGGCAAGACGGAAAGACCCCGUGAACCUUUACUAUAGCUUGACACUGAACAUUGAGCCUUGAUGUGUAGGAUAGGUGGGAGGCUUUGAAGUGUGGACGCCAGUCUGCAUGGAGCCGACCUUGAAAUACCACCCUUUAAUGUUUGAUGUUCUAACGUUGACCCGUAAUCCGGGUUGCGGACAGUGUCUGGUGGGUAGUUUGACUGGGGCGGUCUCCUCCUAAAGAGUAACGGAGGAGCACGAAGGUUGGCUAAUCCUGGUCGGACAUCAGGAGGUUAGUGCAAUGGCAUAAGCCAGCUUGACUGCGAGCGUGACGGCGCGAGCAGGUGCGAAAGCAGGUCAUAGUGAUCCGGUGGUUCUGAAUGGAAGGGCCAUCGCUCAACGGAUAAAAGGUACUCCGGGGAUAACAGGCUGAUACCGCCCAAGAGUUCAUAUCGACGGCGGUGUUUGGCACCUCGAUGUCGGCUCAUCACAUCCUGGGGCUGAAGUAGGUCCCAAGGGUAUGGCUGUUCGCCAUUUAAAGUGGUACGCGAGCUGGGUUUAGAACGUCGUGAGACAGUUCGGUCCCUAUCUGCCGUGGGCGCUGGAGAACUGAGGGGGGCUGCUCCUAGUACGAGAGGACCGGAGUGGACGCAUCACUGGUGUUCGGGUUGUCAUGCCAAUGGCACUGCCCGGUAGCUAAAUGCGGAAGAGAUAAGUGCUGAAAGCAUCUAAGCACGAAACUUGCCCCGAGAUGAGUUCUCCCUGACUCCUUGAGAGUCCUGAAGGAACGUUGAAGACGACGACGUUGAUAGGCCGGGUGUGUAAGCGCAGCGAUGCGUUGAGCUAACCGGUACUAAUGAACCGUGAGGCUUAACCUUACAACGCCGAAG